Molecule: ribosomal RNA, 1236 nt
Filed under: uncultured bacterium
Lineage: Bacteria
Description: bacterial SSU rRNA
Rfam family: Bacterial small subunit ribosomal RNA
Source: RNAcentral
AGAGUUUGAUCAUGGCUCAGGACGAACGCUGGCGGCGUGCUUAACACAUGCAAGUCACGGGGGCCCGCAAGGGUAACCGGCGAACGGGUGCGUAACACGUGAGCAAUCUGCCUAGAUCUGGGGGAUAGCCGGCCCAACGGCCGGGUAAUACCGCAUACGCUUGCCGGGUGGCAUCACCGGGCAAGGAAACCUCCGGGGGAUCUAGAGGAGCUCGCGGCCUAUCAGCUAGUUGGUGGGGUCACGGCCCACCAAGGCGAUGACGGGUAGCUGGUCUGAGAGGAUGGCCAGCCACAUUGGGACUGAGAUACGGCCCAGACUCCUACGGGAGGCAGCAGUGGGGAAUAUUGCGCAAUGGCCGCAAGGCUGACGCAGCGACGCCGCGUGGGGGAUGAAGCAUUUCGGUGUGUAAACCCCUGUUGCUCGGGACGAACCUCUCCUUUCGAGGAGACUGACGGUACCGGGUGAGGAAGCACCGGCUAACUCCGUGCCAGCAGCCGCGGUAAUACGGAGGGUGCGAGCGUUGUCCGGAAUCACUGGGCGUAAAGGGCGCGUAGGCGGUGACUUAAGCGUGUGGUGAAAGCCCGGGGCUCAACCCCGGGUCUGCCGUGCGAACUGGGUCACUUGAGCACUGUAGAGGCAGGUGGAAUUCCGGGUGUAGCGGUGGAAUGCGUAGAGAUCCGGAAGAACACCAGUGGCGAAGGCGGCCUGCUGGGCAGUAGCUGACGCUGAGGCGCGACAGCGUGGGGAGCAAACAGGAUUAGAUACCCUGGUAGUCCACGCCGUAAACGAUGGGCACUAGGUGCUUGGGGGAACGACCCCCCGAGUGCCGGCGCUAACGCAUUAAGUGCCCCGCCUGGGGAGUACGGCCGCAAGGCUGAAACUCAAAGGAAUUGACGGGGGCCCGCACAAGCGGUGGAGCAUGUGGUUUAAUUCGACGCAACGCGAAGAACCUUACCCAGUUUUGACAUGGCCGGGAAAGCCUCUGGAAACAGGGGCCCCUCUUCGGAGCUCGGUCACAGGUGCUGCAUGGCUAUCGUCAGCUCCGUGUCGUGAGAUGUUGGGUUAAGUCCCGCAACGAGCGCAACCCUUACCCUUUAGUUACAGCGGGUCAUGCGGGUCUCCUAGGGGGGACUGCGGGUGCAAACCGGAGGAAGUGGGAUCUGACGUCCAAGUCAAUCAUGUCUUACGACUGGGGGCUACACACACGUGCUCCUCCAAGUGGGGUGGGUGAACCCA